AUGGAGCAAAUGGCCAUGAGCUCUAAUAAAUAUGAGGUUUUCUAUCACAACAUACCUCAGCUGCAGCGAAAAGACAACAGAGCCAUGGGUGCCGAGGGCGGGCACUGGUGCUCGGCAGAAGGCGUUGUCGAGGUGCUCACUGCUGCCCGGCUCUACUUGCACGCCACCAGAUUCAGAAUUGGCAUGGACCUGGGCGCCGCCGCCUUUGCAGCUGCUCCCCGUGUACAUAAUUUAUUUUGUAGAGGAAGAAUAUGGCACGGGAAUGAGUUUGCACCUACUGUUGGAUUCUUCCUUACUACCCACCCGUCUCAGGAAAACACAUACUCUAAAGCAGUAAAACAUUUCGAGUUCUAUGAUCAGCUUGGACAAUACAAUUUGGAUUCUUUUGGAGACUGGGAACAACUUUCAAGCUACUUGUCACAAAGUUUCAUUGAACGCCUUGAGCCAACUGGUGGAGAAAUUACAAUUGCAUUGGAGACAUCAUGGUUGGAUAGAGCUCCCCAAACAGAUAUGGAGAGAUGA
RNAcentral lists this ribosomal RNA (522 nucleotides) under Triticum aestivum (bread wheat). RNAcentral describes it as "partial small subunit ribosomal RNA". Lineage: Eukaryota; Viridiplantae; Streptophyta; Magnoliopsida; Poales; Poaceae. The record is from RNAcentral.